CUCUUACUGCCAUCUUCUUGCUUUUGACUAACUCUUCUAUGAGGUCACAUGCUGUAAGUGCUGGGACUUGGUACAGUUGCCACUUAACAAAAGUAGACCUGACUGCGGCUGCCUGCUUGGCCAGUGUGCUCUCCUUGAGCCCCAGCCCGCAGCUGUGUGUGGCUAUGCGUAGAAUCUUCAUGGUGCUCUCCACCUCCUGGAUCUUCAAGAUUCUGCAUAGCACAGAAACCUGAGCUCCGGAUCCAGGACAGAAGCCUACAAAAAGAUUGAAAAAAUGGUGGACUCCAGACCUAAGGGAACAGAAUAUUUCUUGAUUUGUCUUAAAAUACUCUUCUGAUAUUAUAUAAGUCAAAUUACUGA
Ictidomys tridecemlineatus (thirteen-lined ground squirrel) is the source of this 360-nucleotide non-coding RNA. NCBI's taxonomy places the organism in Eukaryota, Metazoa, Chordata, Mammalia, Rodentia, Sciuridae. The record is from RefSeq and is a predicted model, not a curated record.